This is a non-coding RNA of Taeniopygia guttata (zebra finch), 302 nucleotides long. The record is from RefSeq and is a predicted model, not a curated record. NCBI's taxonomy places the organism in Eukaryota, Metazoa, Chordata, Aves, Passeriformes, Estrildidae.
UGAAGUAGGGAGCCAGUGCCAGGGCACCUGAGCUGGCUGCCACAGGGGACCUGGGCUCUUGUUCACAUUCUAUGCCUGUGCUAUAUUCAUGUCCUGAGCGGGAACAUUAAACACAAUGCUGCACAUGAUUUUGUUCAGGAGGGCUGCAGAUGGCUGCGAUGGGGGAAAGUCAGUGGCAAGUACUGACAUAUGCACUGUGGCAAGUACUCAAAAAUGAACUCCUCAUUCCCUUCAGCCUGAGGAAUGCUGAAUUCUGAUACCAUUUGGGGGGAAAUGAAGAUCAAUAAUAGCUAGCAGAUUUA